GGUGAGAGGCGUGGUACACCCUGGACAGGGCAUCAGCCUAUCACAGAGACAAACAACCAUUUGCAAUGUCAAUUUAGGGUCACAGAUUAGCCUAACGAGCAUGAACAUUUGGAGGGAGGAGCCAGAGUACCUGGUGAAAACCCACGUGGACCCAGGAACUUGCAAACUCCAUCCAGAAGGGCCUGAGCUGGACACGAACUCUGACUUUCUCACUGGGAGGCAUCAGCGCUAUACUGAAGACCUUUAGUUGUCUAAUUUGACUUCAGUUACACUUCCUCUUGAUCUUCUCACCUCCUGUCUAAGAAGAAGUAAGACUCAAGAGGUGGAAAGUUCAUGGAAAAGAUGUGUGGAGUGGACCGGACAUCGGAGACGGCUGUCACCUCAGUAUCUGAACAAAAAGAACCCUGACUGGCACACCAAAUGGAUGCACAACAAGAUUUAGCUACAUCUUCCACCUGCCAAAUGGAGGAUGUGCAACCUUCUAAACUGAAGACUGCUUGUGAAGUGUAAAUUAUAAUAUUUCAAUAAGAUAAUCAUGAACUGAUCUAUUAAAUGCUAUCU
This is a long non-coding RNA of Mugil cephalus (flathead mullet), 561 nucleotides long. RefSeq lists it as uncharacterized. The record is from RefSeq and is a predicted model, not a curated record. Lineage: Eukaryota; Metazoa; Chordata; Actinopteri; Mugiliformes; Mugilidae. The transcript is spliced from 3 exons.